Molecule: ribosomal RNA, 467 nt
Filed under: uncultured bacterium
Lineage: Bacteria
Description: partial 16S ribosomal RNA
Rfam family: Bacterial small subunit ribosomal RNA
Source: RNAcentral
GACGAACGCUGGCGGCGUGCUUAACAUAUGCAAGUCGAACGGAAAGGCUCCAGCUUGCUGGAGUACUCGAGUGGCGAACGGGUGAGUAACACGUGGGUAAUCUGCCCUGCACUCUGGGAUAAGCCUGGGAAACUGGGUCUAAUACUGGAUAUGACCUUUCUCCUUAUGGGGUUUGGUGGAAAGUUUUUCGGUGUAGGAUGAGCCCGCGGCCUAUCAGCUUGUUGGUGGGGUGAUGGCCUACCAAGGCGACGACGGGUAGCCGGCCUGAGAGGGUGAUCGGCCACAUUGGGACUGAGAUACGGCCCAGACUCCUACGGGAGGCAGCAGUGGGGAAUAUUGCACAAUGGGCGGAAGCCUGAUGCAGCGACGCCGCGUGAGGGAUGGCGGCCUUCGGGUUGUAAACCUCUUUCAGCAGGGACGAAGCGUAAGUGACGGUACCUGCAGAAGAAGCACCGGCUAACUACGUG